AUGGAUGUUCCUUAUGUUAUGGCUACCGAUACUAAUAUGAACAUAAGCUAGAACUAACCCAGAUGACUCGUCUCUUUUGUAAUGUAUAAACCAUCCCCUCAUUAAAACUACUGAACUCUUUGAUGUGAGCACUUAUUUAGAGCAAAUACAGAUAAGACUGCAUGUAAAUACGUACAAGCCAACAUAAAGCCAGUGAGCUCCUGCAAAGGGAAUAGUGUAAUGGAACGGAAGCGCAAUGGCUUCAUAAAGAGUGCUAUAUGUAGAAGAAAACCUACGGGUUUGAUGACUAUGAUUGAUUUAUGAGGGAGCUGAUGCAGAAUGCCACAAGGAUUAUUGCACCCAGACCAUCUGUUCCACACAAACCACCAUUACGUGAUACAGAGAAGGAGGUCAUCAUUGAAAUCUUAUGUCACCAUGGAUCCUUCCUGCUUGACAGAGGCAGAGGUGAAAUGUCUGUAAAUGAAAACAUGGCCACGGACAUAAAUGCAGUCGGCGGUCAUGCAGAAACUAUAAUCAGGUGCAGCACCGUGCCGUUGAUAUCAUUACAGCAGCACACAGAAGGGCAGCUGUAGUAACUACAGGGGAUUAUUGCACCCAGACCAUCUGUUCCACACAAACCACCAUUACGUGAUACAGAGAAGGAGGUCAUCAUUGAAAUCUUAUGUCACCAUGGAUCCUUCCUGCUUGACAGAGGCAGAGGUGAAAUGUCUGUAAAUGAAAACAUGGCCACGGACAUAAAUGCAGUCGGCGGUCAUGCAGAAACUAUAAUCAGGUGCAGCACCGUGCCGUUGAUAUCAUUACAGCAGCACACAGAAGGGCAGCUGUAGUAACUACAGGGGUGAGGAUGAUCCAACUACAAUACCACACUCACUGAAAGUGAGCAUUUCCUGUCCAUUGUCAGAGAUACAGACAGCUUGGCAAAGACCUCACACAGAAUCCUUGAUGUUGGUGCUGAUGUGGACAACAGACCAAGCGUGUCUCAAAAAGAAA
This is a long non-coding RNA of Protopterus annectens (West African lungfish), 990 nucleotides long. RefSeq lists it as uncharacterized. The transcript has 3 exons. NCBI's taxonomy places the organism in Eukaryota, Metazoa, Chordata, Ceratodontiformes, Protopteridae. The record is from RefSeq and is a predicted model, not a curated record.